Pyrus x bretschneideri (Chinese white pear) is the source of this 608-nucleotide long non-coding RNA. RefSeq lists it as uncharacterized. Lineage: Eukaryota; Viridiplantae; Streptophyta; Magnoliopsida; Rosales; Rosaceae. The record is from RefSeq and is a predicted model, not a curated record. The transcript has 4 exons.
UUUUUCAACACGACAACCAGUCAACCACCAAAGAACAAAAUGUGGAAGCUCGGUCUCUGUCGUGCUACAAUCACGUCCAACGUCGCCGCCCGUAUGGCCGUGGCGCAGAACCGUACCCUCCCUUCGGUCCUCUGCGAACCGGCGAGACGGUUCUCGACGAAAGCGGAGAACCUAACUCAAGACUCCGCCGUCUGAUCAGCCUCGGGAGCCUUCGCCUUCCGAUCAGAUGCACGACGCCUCACACCGAUCGAUCCAUUUCUUGAACACCAACAUCAGGUUUGGCGUAUGGGAAGCUGCUCGGAAUCUCGAGGAAUACGCUGAAGACCGAUGUCGUGAAUAUGCUGGAAGGCUGUAAUUUGAGACUGGAGGAUGUUAAACUUGAUUACAGUCGAGCCUUCACGCCGAUGGGAAUGGUAGUGCAGUUCCAGUCAUGGAAAGCUUUUGUAAUGCAGCUAAGGUGAUUUCCAGGAUGGGCCCCUGUAUAAAUUGGAGAGGGCUAACCGAUUGCAGUGGGACAAUCUUCCUUCCUAUGAUGGAAAAAGUGUAAGUCAAGGUUUUCUAUUGUAUGCUAAUUAUUUUUUUAAUGAAAUGUUUGAUCAAGUUGGUCA